This 158-nucleotide ribosomal RNA is filed under the name Macrophomina phaseolina. RNAcentral describes it as "5.8S ribosomal RNA". It matches the Rfam family "5.8S ribosomal RNA". From Rfam's summary of the family: 5.8S ribosomal RNA (5.8S rRNA) is a component of the large subunit of the eukaryotic ribosome. It is transcribed by RNA polymerase I as part of the 45S precursor that also contains 18S and 28S rRNA. Lineage: Eukaryota; Fungi; Ascomycota; Dothideomycetes; Botryosphaeriales; Botryosphaeriaceae. The record is from RNAcentral.
AAACUUUCAACAACGGAUCUCUUGGUUCUGGCAUCGAUGAAGAACGCAGCGAAAUGCGAUAAGUAAUGUGAAUUGCAGAAUUCAGUGAAUCAUUGAAUCUUUGAACGCACAUUGCGCCCCUUGGUAUUCCGGGGGGCAUGCCUGUUCGAGCGUCAUUU